AUUGAACGCUGGCGGCAUGCCUUACACAUGCAAGUCGAACGGCAGCACGGGUGCUUGCACCUGGUGGCGAGUGGCGAACGGGUGAGUAAUACAUCGGAACAUGUCCUGUAGUGGGGGAUAGCCCGGCGAAAGCCGGAUUAAUACCGCAUACGAUCUACGGAUGAAAGCGGGGGACCUUCGGGCCUCGCGCUAUAGGGUUGGCCGAUGGCUGAUUAGCUAGUUGGUGGGGUAAAGGCCUACCAAGGCGACGAUCAGUAGCUGGUCUGAGAGGACGACCAGCCACACUGGGACUGAGACAUGGCCCAGACUCCUACGGGAGGCAGCAGUGGGGAAUUUUGGACAAUGGGCGAAAGCCUGAUCCAGCAAUGCCGCGUGUGUGAAGAAGGCCUUCGGGUUGUAAAGCACUUUUGUCCGGAAAGAAAUCCUUGGCCCUAAUACGGUCGGGGGAUGACGGUACCGGAAGAAUAAGCACCGGCUAACUACGUG
This 486-nucleotide ribosomal RNA is filed under the name uncultured bacterium. Its description in RNAcentral is "partial 16S ribosomal RNA". It matches the Rfam family "Bacterial small subunit ribosomal RNA", at positions 30 to 507 of the family's 1533-position model. The record is from RNAcentral.